AUCUAGAUAACGAGUCCCAAAUAAGACGAAACACGCGUAAUAUAU
Molecule: non-coding RNA, 45 nt
Filed under: Schistosoma mansoni
Lineage: Eukaryota; Metazoa; Platyhelminthes; Trematoda; Strigeidida; Schistosomatidae
Source: RNAcentral